Molecule: ribosomal RNA, 375 nt
Filed under: uncultured eukaryote
Lineage: Eukaryota
Description: SSU rRNA
Rfam family: Eukaryotic small subunit ribosomal RNA
Source: RNAcentral
AGCUCCAAUAGCGUAUAUUUAAGUUGUUGCAGUUAAAAAGCUCGUAGUUGGAUUUCGGCUUUGGGCGACCGGUCCGCCGUUUCGGUGUGCACUGGUCGGCCUUUGCUUUCUGUCGGGGACGCGCUCUCCUUAAUUGGUGACGCGGAGUCGGCGCUGUUACUUUGAAAAAAUUAGAGUGUUCAAGGCAGGCUUACGCUCUGAAUACUAUAGCAUGGAAUAACACGAUAGGACUCCGAGCCUAUUUUGUUGGUCUUCGGGACCGGAGUAAUGAUUAAGAGGGACAGUUGGGGGCAUUCGUAUUCCGAUGUCAGAGGUGAAAUUCUUGGAUUUUCGGAAGACGAACUUCUGCGAAAGCAUUUGCCAAGGAUGUUUUCA